GCUAGUGUUUGGUUUCAAUCUAAUUAGCUGAUGAUCAAGUUGUUUGUUUCCACUUUUCAGUUUCCGCAUAAUGUAUGAAGUGUUUCCAGGAAAAUACAACUGUUCUGCUGUAUCAUCGAAUUAUAAUGAUUGGCCUACUUAUAUAAUUUUUCUUUGAUUAAACGUUACUGAGAUAUGAAGUACGUCCAUUUUAUGGAUUUUCUUCUUCUUCUUCUUCCUCUAUUAUCGUAAUUCCAC
Molecule: long non-coding RNA, 237 nt
Filed under: Ricinus communis (castor bean)
Lineage: Eukaryota; Viridiplantae; Streptophyta; Magnoliopsida; Malpighiales; Euphorbiaceae
Description: long non-coding RNA (RCOM_LNC003308)
Source: RNAcentral